This 498-nucleotide ribosomal RNA is filed under the name uncultured bacterium. RNAcentral describes it as "bacterial SSU rRNA". It matches the Rfam family "Bacterial small subunit ribosomal RNA", at positions 899 to 1397 of the family's 1533-position model. The record is from RNAcentral.
ACUCAAAUGAAUAGACGGGGGCCCGCACAAGCGGAGGAACAUGUGGUUUAAUUCGAUGAUACGCGAGGAACCUUACCCGGGCUAGAACGCAGAGGGAAUAUAUGGGAAACUGUAUAGCCAGCAAUGGUCGUCUGCGAGGUGCUGCAUGGUUGUCGUCAGCUCGUGCCGUGAGGUGUCGGCUUAAGUGCCAUAACGAGCGCAACCCUUAUUGUUAGUUGCCAGCGGGUCAUGCCGGGGACUCUAGCAAAACUGCCGGCGUAAGCUGUGAGGAAGGUGGGGAUGACGUCAAAUCAGCACGGCCCUUACGUCCGGGGCGACACACGUGUUACAAUGGGGAGUACAGAGGGUUGCUACCACGCGAGUGGAUGCUAAUCCCAAAAUCUCCUCUCAGUUCGGAUCGAAGUCUGCAACUCGACUUCGUGAAGCUGGAUUCGCUAGUAAUCGCGCAUCAGCCACGGCGCGGUGAAUACGUUCCCGGGCCUUGUACACACCGCCCGU